GAAGGGCUGCGCUGCAAAAUGUAGAUUCUUUUCUGGAUCUAAACCCUAGUUCUCCCUACUCUUGGGUCAGAAUGUAAUAGAUUUGCCCUCUGUAGUGGGACAAUGGUAACAUUUAGAUACAGAUCAGAACUUUCUCAGAGAUCCAAAAGCAUGAUUUGGUUACCUGGUUAUCAAGAAGCUUUUGGUUGUGACAUUCAGUAAACAUCUAUGGUCACUUAAUCUCUCUGAUUGCCUCUCAGAGGACGGAGACAUUCUGCACACAUCUGUUCUCAAGAGGUAGAAGAAGUAGGCUCAUCAGAAGUCUUUCUCUAAGUUUCAAAGCACAGCAGGGCACCUGGUCAGAUCAGUCCUGCUCAUACUUCCUAUUGCUUUCCUGGAAAAACUGAAAUCGUGUCACACCUAGCUGCUAAUAAAACUUCUGCUGAGAACCUGCCUGCCAUUAAUUACUUGGAGGUGAGAGGCUGCCCCAGAGCCAUGGGUUUGGAAACCUUUAUGAAAUAUUUUUGGAAAACUGGCCUUAUUCAGGGGAUGCCUGGAAGCUUGGGUGGUUUUUACAGAGCUACCUAGGGAAAACCCAAAAGGCAUCAGUGAACAGGCCACUUUCAGAGAACAGGGAGAGAUCUGGGAAACUCUUAGUUGGGAAGGAGGCAGGUGUGCAGUAGAAGAGGAGGUCUAGUGCAAAUGUGAAUGACCACACAUAGUUGCAUCAUUGUAUGCACAGCAGCCCUCUCUGAAGAACAAGUAUGACCAAUACAUUCGUAAGUGCCUGCUAAUAUGAUGUCCCAAUGUGCAUGAAGGAAUCCCAGGGCAUAAUCCAUUCAUUUUUGUCUUCCCUUUCCAGGCCACUUCAGUUUUGAGAGCAAAGAGCCUUCACUGGUCAUAGACACUCCUGCCCCAUUCUAUGCCAUUGUCUGGCCUUCAGAGUAGCCCUUCAAAUGUAAGGCCAUGAACUCCCAAUGGUGAAAAUAUUCCAGGUUGACGGGCCUGUCUGCCAGGAACCCAACUGUUUGUCUGGCAAAAACCAUGGUGCAGAUCCGAUUAGGAAUCCUCUUCCCAGGACCUGCCUUCCCCCUGCCUGCCACGGACCUGGUACCACAGCCCCUUGGCCAGGUUGUCCCACUGGAAGGUCUCUGGGGAGCUUUUGGUGCUGUGUAAUCAGCAAUGAGCUCCUGGGCUCACAGGUGAACUCAAAAUAGUUCUGGCAAGAAGGACAAGAGCCAGCUCUGUGGAAAAUGAAGCGCACAGAGCCGCUUGACCCAGUCUUCUGGCAGCAUCUGCAGGUAAGGAGGGGUGCGUUGGCUCGAGCCGUUGGGUUGGGAAGGCAGCACAGA
RNAcentral lists this long non-coding RNA (1331 nucleotides) under Struthio camelus australis. RNAcentral describes it as "lncRNA (ENSSCUG00000004010.1)". Lineage: Eukaryota; Metazoa; Chordata; Aves; Struthioniformes; Struthionidae. The record is from RNAcentral.